AUUGAACGCUGGCGGCAGGCCUAACACAUGCAAGUCGAGCGGAUGAAGGGAGCUUGCUCCUGGACUCAGCGGCGGACGGGUGAGUAAUGCCUAGGAAUCUGCCUGGUAGUGGGGGAUAACGUCCGGAAACGGGCGCUAAUACCGCAUACGUCCUGAGGGAGAAAGUGGGGGAUCUUCGGACCUCACGCUAUCAGAUGAGCCUAGGUCGGAUUAGCUAGUUGGUGGGGUAAAGGCCUACCAAGGCGACGAUCCGUAACUGGUCUGAGAGGAUGAUCAGUCACACUGGAACUGAGACACGGUCCAGACUCCUACGGGAGGCAGCAGUGGUGAAUAUUGGACAAUGGGCGAAAGCCUGAUCCAGCCAUGCCGCGUGUGUGAAGAAGGUCUUCGGAUUGUAAAGCACUUUAAGUUGGGAGGAAGGGCAGUAAGUUAAUACCUUGCUGUUUUGACGUUACCAACAGAAUAAGCACCGGCUAACUUCGUG
Molecule: ribosomal RNA, 484 nt
Filed under: uncultured bacterium
Lineage: Bacteria
Description: partial 16S ribosomal RNA
Rfam family: Bacterial small subunit ribosomal RNA
Source: RNAcentral